AACUAAGUUUGUUCUUGGUAUAAGAUUUCGUCUGCAUGCACACUUCUUCAGAAGAAGUAUCUGAAGAAGUGUGCAUGCACAUGAAAGCUUAUACCAAGAACAAACUUAGUUGG
Non-coding RNA from Podarcis lilfordi (Lilford's wall lizard), 113 nucleotides. Lineage: Eukaryota; Metazoa; Chordata; Lepidosauria; Squamata; Lacertidae. The record is from the annotation of a GenBank genome assembly.